AGUGAAACGCCGUAUAUUACAUCGAAGUACUGCUUGAGAUACCUGUGGUUGUCCGUUGAAGUAGUACUGUACUCGUUCGCUAACUGGACUGGAAGGGCAACCCAAUUGUCGAAUUCCACUUGCUAACUAGGCUUCCAAACAGUAAGCGCAAAACUUCAAAUAAAUAAAAAUGCCCUAGCAGUCCAGUUAAAGUAGCAUCAGUGGUAUUUUACCUGAUUGAUACUCGAGUUCUCCGAAUGCGCGGUGGUAUUGGGGAGAUGUACAGUAUGUGCCAUUCGGAGCAAAGUAUCCGGCGAUUCUUCCGAAGUGUCAUCCAAUAACAACUCUCAUUACGGACUUCUACCGCCAAUGAAGGCAGGGCGCAUCCAGGUGAAGCGCUUUUUACCUGCUUAACGGUUUGCGCAGUGCACAUUGAGAUUUAUUAAUCGUAGAGGGCAGUGUUCUAUUCCGACAAUGGCAAAUGCUUCCAAGGAGCCAGCUUCGGGACGAUAAAUCGGCAAUUAAUGAGGCCAUGGUAAAUACUUUCACGAACGCGAGAACCGCUUGGGAAUUCAACGGGAACCCAUGCAGAAAGCGAGGGUAGUGGAUAUGUUGUACUCCGUAGAAGCUGAAGGAAACAAGCACGGAGUUUUGGAAGAGAUGGAUUAGUGAGAUGGAAUCGUAAGUUCAAAUCGAUCAUUAUUGUUAUUUGUAAAACUGCAUUGAAUAUAUAUUUUUAAGUUCAAGCUUAUACUAAUAGGCGGUCGUUUGCUUUCGAGGUUUGGUGACACAAUCCCACAGUAAUUUUCACAAACAUCCCUAAUCAUGAUCUAACAUUUUUUGCAGUGAUUAAAUCCACAACCCAUGUCGAAUAGUAUGGCCAGUUGUGAAAACAAAAAAUGAGUUGUGAAUAAACGACAACUCAGCUCAACUUUGGGACACUUUUACAGCAUUGCUGUUGAAACUGUUGAAAUUGCUGAAAUUGCAGUUGAAAUUGCUCAGCUUCAAGUAAACACAUCGCUUGGAGUGGACCGAUAUUCAGGUUCUUCAGAUGGGAGUCCAUUUUUUUUUUGUAUUCGGUCAGGAAAAAUACUUACAUUAAAUAGCUCCAGGAGUUUUUCUUUUGUUGGCCCAAGAAGUUCGGCGAUUUCCGACAUUGCCGCGAACUCGCGCAAUAGCUUUUCCUCCCGAGAAAUACCGCAAUAAGGUGUAAUGUCCCCAACAAUGCUUUCAGCGAGGUCAUGAACUAACGCUAUGGAGAAAAUAAUCAUGUACACUGUGUAUAUGUGUAUUUUUUUAUAAACACACCUAGUUCCAUUACUCGUAUUCGAUCAAUUGCUUGAUUGCUAUCGAGUAAAAAUGACAUCAUUCCCAUUCGAUACAUAUGGCCGGAUAUUGUCUCGCACUCGGACACAUUUCGCAGCACCC
Molecule: long non-coding RNA, 1407 nt
Organism: Toxorhynchites rutilus septentrionalis
Lineage: Eukaryota; Metazoa; Arthropoda; Insecta; Diptera; Culicidae
Exons: 3
Source: RefSeq, a predicted model, not a curated record